AUUGAACGCUGGCGGCAGGCCUAACACAUGCAAGUCGAACGAGUGGCGGACGGGUGAGUAAUGUCUGGGAAACUACCCGAUGGAGGGGGAUAACUACUGGAAACGGUAGCUAAUACCGCAUACCAUCGGAUGUGCCCAGAUGGGAUGAGCUAGUAGGUGGGGUAAAGGCUCACCUAGGCGACGAUCCCUAGAUGGUCUGAGAGGAUGACCAGUGCCACUGGAACUUAGACACGGUCCAGACUCCUACGUGAGUCAGCAGUGGUGAAUGUUGCACAAUGGGCGCGAGCCUGAUGCAGCCAUGCCGCGUGUAUGAAGAAGGCCUUCGGGUUGUGAAGUACUUUCAGCGGGGAGGCGUUACCCGCAGAAGAAGCACCGGCUAACUCCGUGCCAGCAGCCGCGGUAAUAC
This 406-nucleotide ribosomal RNA is filed under the name uncultured bacterium. RNAcentral's name for it is "partial 16S ribosomal RNA". It matches the Rfam family "Bacterial small subunit ribosomal RNA", at positions 30 to 526 of the family's 1533-position model. The record is from RNAcentral.